AACAAUACUGACUUGCAAACAAUAUUGUAGAAACAAACAUCAGAGUUACCCGUUGCUUGGACGAGUACAGCUGAGGCAACAAGUUCAGUUGUACAAAUGGAACAAACAAAACUGUGCUUAUACCUAUUGCGAUGCGCAAGAAAGUCUGACGACGAUGAUGGACAAGCUCGCCGGGAGCAAUAGGCGAUGCAAACAACACACUGAGAUUCAGAGAUAGCGACAAACUCACGUCUGUCAUUAGCACAUCAAGAAGAGAGCAACACAACACGUCAUUUUCCCCUAACGAAAAUUAGAAUAUGAAGUCUCCAAAAGAAAGGGUGUGGCAUGCCAUCCAAAUGGAGCAUCAGAGGCGAGGUUAAUUCAUCAUCUAGCAAUGACCUCUUUGUGGGAGGGAGCACCGUGGAGGCACAGUGUGUCAAAUCCGUCCGGCCGCUACAGUGACAUUUGAACUUCUUGCAGCGGCACCAGCUUCCUGCAGGGGCAUGGCGGAGGAGAACUGCAUGGCACGUGAGAGGCGGGAUCAGGAGUAGCUCCAGGAUGGAAAGGGGUGUAAAGGUGGAGAAGGUCAGGGGUGAAGGGUCACCGGGGCGACGCACUGGUGCGAGAAGGCAUGGCGGCGCUCGGACGGUGCGUGGCUGCGAGAAGGAAGACGACGUUCAGUAGCAGCGAGGCAUCUGGCGACGACCACAACUAGGCGGGGG
Molecule: long non-coding RNA, 701 nt
Filed under: Triticum aestivum (bread wheat)
Lineage: Eukaryota; Viridiplantae; Streptophyta; Magnoliopsida; Poales; Poaceae
Description: long non-coding RNA (TAES_LNC020261)
Source: RNAcentral